UACGGAGGGAGCUAGCGUUGUUCGGAAUUACUGGGCGUAAAGCGCACGUAGGCGGCUAUUCAAGUCGGGGGUGAAAGCCCGGGGCUCAACCCCGGAACUGCCCUCGAAACUAGAUAGCUAGAAUCUUGGAGAGGCGAGUGGAAUUCCGAGUGUAGAGGUGAAAUGCGUAGAUACCAGGAGGAACACCGGUGGCGAAGGCGGCUUCCUGGCCGAGUACUGACGCUGAGGCACGAAAGCGUGGGGAGCGAACGGG
RNAcentral lists this ribosomal RNA (253 nucleotides) under uncultured bacterium. RNAcentral describes it as "partial 16S ribosomal RNA". It matches the Rfam family "Bacterial small subunit ribosomal RNA", at positions 524 to 776 of the family's 1533-position model. The record is from RNAcentral.